This 400-nucleotide ribosomal RNA is filed under the name uncultured bacterium. Its description in RNAcentral is "bacterial SSU rRNA". It matches the Rfam family "Bacterial small subunit ribosomal RNA", at positions 355 to 747 of the family's 1533-position model. The record is from RNAcentral.
UCGAGAAUAAUUCACAAUGGGGGCAACCCUGAUGGUGCAACGCCGCGUGGAGGAUGAAGGUCUUCGGAUUGUAAACUCCUGUCAUCCGGGAGCAAGACCUGGCCGUGAAUAGCGGACAGGGUUGAUAGUACCGGAAGAGGAAGGGACGGCUAACUUCGUGCCAGCAGCCGCGGUAAUACGAAGGUCCCGAGCGUUGUUCGGAAUCACUGGGCGUAAAGGGAGCGUAGGCGGCGUGGCAAGUCAGACGUGAAAUCCCGGGGCUCAACCCCGGAACUGCGUCCGAUACUGCCAUGCUCGAGCAUUGGAGAGGCAGCUGGAAUUCUUGGUGUAGCAGUGAAAUGCGUGGAUAUCAAGAGGAACACUCGUGGCGAAAGCGAGCUGCUGGACAAUUGCUGACGCU